AUUCAACUGAUGAGUUUCAAAUAGGACGAAACGUGUGUUCUGGAU
Molecule: non-coding RNA, 45 nt
Filed under: Schistosoma curassoni
Lineage: Eukaryota; Metazoa; Platyhelminthes; Trematoda; Strigeidida; Schistosomatidae
Source: RNAcentral